UAACUUAACUAAUUGAAACCUGAACUAUGACUCCUGAAUUCAGCAGGUUCCAACCACAUUAUGGAUAAUACAGCCAUGUGUCAAUGCAGCCUUUGAUCAACCGACACUAACUGGUGACCUGGGAGUUGGAUGUGCUGCUGUCCUGUUCCUUGUCAGUGACUUGGUCUAUCUCCCCCCCCCGAUAGACCAUGUCACUGACAACUUCAGCAUUAAUCUAGCUCUGAAGUAUUUUGGAGGUGGGGCACAACCAACGCCACCAACCCCAAGUGCCAGUGCUACAGCUGAUGUUCCAGCAGGUGAGGAGCACUUACCAGCACCUGAAUGCACUGAUCCUGCUGUUCCUUCCAUGUCUAAUUGAACCUCAGUGGAUGUGGCAGAAUUCUUUGUACUUAUUUGUGAGAGAUGGAAACUAGAGUCUGCGACUUGGACUCUAGUUGCACUUAAGUUGCAAAGAUAAAGACUUGUGACUUGACUUGGACUCGUGAACAGCUGACUUGAGACUUGACUGACUCAUGAUUUGUGAGACUCGAAAAAACGUAAGUCAAUCAUAUGACAUUCCCUGUUUACUACACCACAUGGCAGCAUCAUACACACAAAUACAAAUAUUUUAAAAAAAUGCAAAGUUACGGAUGACACACAGC
RNAcentral lists this long non-coding RNA (641 nucleotides) under Sinocyclocheilus grahami. RNAcentral describes it as "lncRNA (ENSSGRG00000015426.1)". The record is from RNAcentral. Lineage: Eukaryota; Metazoa; Chordata; Actinopteri; Cypriniformes; Cyprinidae.